AAAUGAUUAUCAAUUAUUUUUGUUUUACAAAAAGAGCCCACAUGCAAGACUUUGUCCCCAAACAUGCCUUGCCAAACAUGCAAGACUUUGUUUGCAAAAAUCAAAUGUACUUUACUUGGGGUCCUAAUCAAUAUGAUAGUUACUACAAGUUUUAAUAGAAGCCUAAUAAUCAACAUAAACAGUUGAUGACUUUUAUACUGUGUAGACUCAAAACAAAUGUGUUGGAAUGAUGGCGACCAAUUCAAAUUGCUCACAAUUGGCGACCAGAAAUUAAGAUGUGUUGUUCAUCACUGCGGCCGUCGUUGUCUCAUUUGAUCAAUCAAUUAACUUUUCCGGUAGCUAUGGGAUUGAUUCCGUUGUUGGUGCUGCUGUUUCUUCCCACCGCCGGUGGACAGUACGUAAAACCUGUCAUCGCCGGCCUGAUUCCAAUUUCCCACCCGGAGUAGACAUUUGACAUAUCUAAAAUAGAUUCUGAUUUUUGCAGAUAAAGAAGGUUGGAUUGAAAAUUGG
Molecule: long non-coding RNA, 510 nt
Filed under: Panax ginseng (ginseng)
Lineage: Eukaryota; Viridiplantae; Streptophyta; Magnoliopsida; Apiales; Araliaceae
Description: long non-coding RNA (PGIN_LNC015465)
Source: RNAcentral